CACGUAGGGCGCAAGCGUUGUCCGGAAUUAUUGGGCGUAAAGAGCUUGUAGGCGGUUUGUCGCGUCUGCUGUGAAAAUCCGGGGCUCAACCCCGGACUUGCAGUGGGUACGGGCAGACUAGAGUGUGGUAGGGGAGACUGGAAUUCCUGGUGUAGCGGUGGAAUGCGCAGAUAUCAGGAGGAACACCGAUGGCGAAGGCAGGUCUCUGGGCCACUACUGACGCUUGGAGAAGCGGAAAAGCAUGGGGAGCGAACAGG
This 257-nucleotide ribosomal RNA is filed under the name uncultured bacterium. Its description in RNAcentral is "partial 16S ribosomal RNA". It matches the Rfam family "Bacterial small subunit ribosomal RNA", at positions 524 to 776 of the family's 1533-position model. The record is from RNAcentral.